AGCUCCAAUAGCGUAUAUUAAAGUUGUUGCGGUUAAAAAGCUCGUAGUUGGAUCUCGGCGGGCAGGGGGUGGUUCGCUCUUCAGCGCUACUGCCCCGCUUUGCCCGUGUGAUUGGCGGAGGUUUCGGGGUGCUCUUCGUUGAGUGACUCGGAGCGCCGUCAGGUUUACUUUGAAAAAAUUAGAGUGCUCAAAGCAGGCUUUUCACGCUUGAAUAUUCGUGCAUGGAAUAAUGGAAUAGGAACUCGUUUCUAUUUUGUUGGUUUUCGGAAAUCGAGUUAAUGAUUAACAGGGACAAUUGGGGGCAUUAGUAUUCAGACGACAGAGGUGAAAUUCUUGGACCGUCUGAAGACUGACUACUGCGAAAGCAUUUGCCAAGAGUGUUUUCA
Molecule: ribosomal RNA, 386 nt
Filed under: uncultured eukaryote
Lineage: Eukaryota
Also listed under: 1 other name
Description: SSU rRNA
Rfam family: Eukaryotic small subunit ribosomal RNA
Source: RNAcentral